Molecule: long non-coding RNA, 2034 nt
Organism: Coregonus clupeaformis (lake whitefish)
Lineage: Eukaryota; Metazoa; Chordata; Actinopteri; Salmoniformes; Salmonidae
Exons: 2
Source: RefSeq, a predicted model, not a curated record
AUAUCGGCAGUGUAUCAAAUACUUGUUCUCCCCACUGUAUGUACCUAAUUUUCUACUUUUCAAACAAUGCACCAACCUGUCUGUAGUAAAAACCCACAUAGGAAUUAUCAGUUAAGUUAUUAUCCUGGAGUAAAUCUAUAUGUUUUAUUAAAUGAUCCACCGAUCCCUCCCUCCCAUCCACCAUAUUCCUCACCCCUCCCUGAACUUCCAUACUUGCCUGUUUUACAGACUACUCAUUACUACGAUUGAUAUUCCCAAACCUUUUCUUCUUCUCUCUAUUAUAGCUCUGCGUGAAUGUUUCCUGUCAUCUCUCUAUGAAAGGUAAAUCAUAUAAAUGCAUACCCAUGUCUCCCUGUACUGUAUUUCCUGGCGAAUUGAGCUUCUGACCUUCAAUUUACCCUCACUUCACAAUUUCCUGUUCUUCGCUAAAAGUGUUUUGAUUUCUUGCACAUUUUGUUAUUUUCGCACUUCUCUCGCCACUCUCUUUCAGUCCUCCUUUUUAAUCAAAGCCUCCCUCCUUGGCUUUUGUUGCCUUAACCUACCUCCCGCCCACGCGCUCCAUUCCGCCUCCUAAUUUCCUCUCUCUCUCCGUACUGCGGCAUAAUCCAGGAUGUAAGUUAAAUAUCGUACUUUUUCCACAUGAAAGUUUUAUGCAGAAAAGCACCUCGGCAUCAUUGCUAGCAACGCGUCAAUGCGUUUUCUCCACGGACAAUUGCAUUAGUCAUUACCCACAGAGCUGUGUACUGAAAGUCACCAUGUAGAGGUGCAAAAAAGUGCACUUGAUCAAUUUUCAGAUCUCUAUCAUAUUCCUCCCACGCUUAUGUGUGUGUGAAAACAUGUUAUUUCUAACUUGUUAUUGUCUAAGCACGCACUCAUACACUCAUGCAAGUAGUACGCACACAUCUCAGGACCUUAAAAAAGACAUCAGCAGUCUAAUUCCAUACUAUGGAGCUGUCCAAAACCUAAUGAACACACAGACACACGCACACGCACACACACACACACACACGCACACACGCACGCACGCACACACAGCUGUCCUAAGCCUAAUUAACAUGGGCAGGCAGUGUAUUAGGCAGGUGUGAGAUGACUAGCCUUCCUUGUAAUAAUGUCUCUAUUACUGAUCUGAUUUACCAGAGAUGCUGGGAUGGAGAAUUUAAUAGAAACUGCAGCCAUAUCCGCUUCACAGAAAAUACAAAGUAUAAGUGAAAAUAAAGGGCAUUACAGUGGAUCAAAUGUAAGCCCUCUGAUUAUUCUGUGGCUGCCAUUUAUGGUUAUUCAGAAAAAGGAACUUUCACCAUGUGCUGUGCUAUUGUGAGAUUGGGCUGACUUAACCAGAUAUGACUAGACUUGUUUUGCCCUUCUUAACCAGAUAUGAUUAGAUUUGUUUUGCCCUUCUUAACCAGAUAUGACUAGACUUGUUUUUUCCUUCUGGAACUUUCCCCAUGUACAGUACUGUUACGUGGUGAUGUCACAUUGUGAGAUUGGGUCAGGUUUUUUGAGUAUGGAUUCAGUUCCACCAAGGAUGGCGAGCCGCCCAACCCAGGACAUCUGUAAGAAGAUUUGCAUGCAAAUAUUUAUUUUUCCUUUUCCUUGGAGGACACUGAAUUUGCACUGCCAUACUACGCUGUGAUAGGAUUCUUUGUUGCAAGACAUCAUUGCACCAUACAUAGUAGUCGGACUAUGAUAAGCACAUACCACAUUUAAACACCUUACAGUGUUGAUUGAUAUGCACAGUCACUCACAUUUGAUUCCAUCUCAUAGUGGUUUAUAAGUCAGUAUUUGUGAAUUGGGUUGUGUUUUUCUGUGGAUUCAUGUUUAUUGUAUUUGUAUUGAACUUUGAACAUUGAAAGCUGAGAUACCCUCAGAUUAAAAUAGAGUUAAGGUGCACCCUACUAAACUAUAUGUUGGAUAUGUGGUCGAUAUCUAAGAUGUAUUGAAUUCAUAUUGAGCUCAUUGUACAAAUUUCAUUCAUCAAUAUUUACUCAAGGUGAUGCUUUUUUUUUUUUAAGAAUUAAAAUUUACAAAAUUCAA